AUGGGCCUUCCCUCUCUCCGAGGAUGAAGAGGGGAAGGGAGACAUUAGGGGAGGUCUGCUCAGCUGUGGGCCUGCAGAAGGAAGGAAGGAUCCGCAAUAACCUCCACCAUGGCCUGGUCUCCUCUCCUCCUCAUCCUCCUCGCUCACUGCACAGUGUCCUGGGCCCAGUCUAGGCUGACUCAGCCGCCCUCAGUGUCUGGUUCUCUGGGCCAGAGGGUCACCAUCUCCUGCGCUGGAAGCAGCUCUAAUAUUGGUGGUUAUGCUGUGAACUGGCACCAACAAUUCCCAGGAAUGGCCCCCAAAACCAUCAUCUAUGAUAAUAGCAAUCGACCCUCUGGGGUCCCAGAUCGAUUCUCCGGCUCCAAGUCUGGAAACACAGGCACCCUGACCAUCACUGGGCUCCAGGCUGAGGACGAGGCUGAUUAUUACUGCUCAUCGUGGGACAGCAGUAGCAGUUGGGUGUUCGGCGGAGGUACCCAUCUGAGCGUCCUAGGUCAGCCCAAGUCAGCCCCCUCGGUCACACUCUUCCCACCCUCCAGUGAGGAGCUCAGCGCAAACAAGGCCACCCUGGUGUGCCUCAUCAGUGACUUCUACCCCAGCGGCUUGACGGUGGCCUGGAAGGCAGAUGGCACCCCCAUCACCCAGGGCGUGGAGACCACCAAGCCCUCCAAACAGAGCAACAACAAGUACGCUGCCAGCAGCUACCUGAGCCUGUCACCGAACCAGUGGAAAUCUCGCAGCAGAUUCACCUGCCAGGUCACACAUGAGGGGAGCACCGUGGAGAAAAAUGUGGUCCCCGCAGAGUGCUCUUAGGUCAAGGGACCCCCACCUACCCCAGGGGGUGUGCAGCCAUUGGACCUAAAGGAAGGAUUCCCCUUGCACCAGGAUCAUCCCAGCCCUUCUCCCUUCAAUCAAUGCUCAAUAAAAUGUCCUUUAUUCAAUCAGAAA
Prionailurus viverrinus (fishing cat) is the source of this 948-nucleotide non-coding RNA. NCBI's taxonomy places the organism in Eukaryota, Metazoa, Chordata, Mammalia, Carnivora, Felidae. The record is from the annotation of a RefSeq genome assembly.